AUAGGACAUGUGCACGUCUGCCAUCUUUAUAUCUCCACCUGUGCACACAUUGUAGGUCUGGAAUAACUCUCUGAGGGAACUCAGUUGUUAGGAUUGCUUCUGCAAAGGAGCUUUUCUUGUGUUUCCAGAUCUAUGCUUUCAUAUACACCAUAAGAAUGUAACAGAAUGUAUUAAUGGGUCUUGUACCUAUAAACUAUAUACAACUUUCAGCAACGGAUCUCUUGGCUCUCGCAUCGAUGAAGAACGCAGCGAAAUGCGAUAAGUAAUGUGAAUUGCAGAAUUCAGUGAAUCAUCGAAUCUUUGAACGCACCUUGCGCUCCUUGGUAUUCCGAGGAGCAUGCCUGUUUGAGUGUCAUUAAAUUCUCAACCCCUCCAGCUUUUGCGAGUUGUGAUGGGGCUUGGAUAUGGGGGCUUGCGGGUCUUUACUGAUGUAAAGGUCUGCUCUCCUGAAAUACAUUAGCGGAACCGUUUGCAGUCCCGUCACUAGUGUGAUAAUUAUCUACGCUGUGAUGAUUGCUCUCUGACUAGUUCAGCUGCUAAUCGUCCGUUAUGGACAAUGUUUAAUGAACUUCUUGACCUCAAAUCAGGUAGGACUACCCGCUGAACUUAAGCAUAUCAAUAAGCGGAGGA
Molecule: small RNA, 630 nt
Filed under: uncultured fungus
Lineage: Eukaryota; Fungi
Description: eukaryotic LSU rRNA
Rfam family: 5.8S ribosomal RNA (bases 202-355)
Source: RNAcentral